AAGCUCAGAAGCUCAAUUUCAUGCUCAUUUUCUCACUUGUACUGAUUUUCUGGUUUAGCUAUUUGUUGAUUCUGUGUGUUGGAUUGAUGGGUUUCUUUGUUUAUGUAACAUGGGUUUGAGAAUGUGAUUUAUGUAGGAGAAUGUGUUUGAGCUGUUAAUGGUAGUUGAUUGGAUGCUUUAAGAUUUAAGGGGUUUGCUUAGAUUUGUUUGUUGUUGAAGCUUAUUUGAUUUUAGGGUUUUGAGUGCAUUUUUGACUUUUUUAUAGUCAAACCUAGUGAGUGUCAACUACAGAGGUUAAGAAUGAAAAUUGUUACAAAUGUAACAUAUCGAAAUGUUACAGAAUCCCAGUUAUGUAUGUCAGUUAUUGAACCUAUUCACAUGGUUUAUUAGUUAUCAUGUGUUUGGUUGCUUGACAUGUGGUUUUCAUGUGUUUG
This 434-nucleotide long non-coding RNA is filed under the name Helianthus annuus (common sunflower). The record is from RNAcentral. Lineage: Eukaryota; Viridiplantae; Streptophyta; Magnoliopsida; Asterales; Asteraceae.